GCCCACGGAUGAAACCGGUUUAGUGGGAAGUAGUUUGGUUUAUCUACAAUUCCAAUGACUUUUUUGGCAGGAAAAGGUUUCCAUAGAAUACACCUGAUAGUCCACCAAGAUUAAUAGGAGCCAUUGAGAGGGUUCUGGCCAUGACCUACAAGGAAGAUAAUAUAUGUACCAACUUGCUGGGGAACUGGACUUAUAGUGAGGCUUAUAUGCAGAAGUAUAUUUCUAAAUUCAGUGAUAUUCCAUCUCAUCUUAUGAACCAAAAUAAUAUUGCAAAUCCUAGGAGAAUGGCUACAACUUUUGAAGAUUUUGUGGUUUGCUAUCAGUAUCAAUGUUCUCCCCAGAAAGCAAAGUCUUGAUAAGUUUCCAAGAUGUGUGCAAAUCAUGAGCUUCUUGUUGCAAGUAGAGCCUCAUGGCAAAAUGUAAUGAGAUUGGGCAUCCUAGCUACCAGCCACUGGUCCAAAAAGAGAUCCUGAUUUAGUUGGACUGAAUGAGGUCAUAUGUUUGUAGCAAUUUGGCUAUAUAUGCAAUCGAUCUUUUUUUCGUCCAAGUCCAUGUACUGAAGCAACAAUUUGAUUUUAUAUGAUCUUUGUUCUGCUCUCAUAUGUAAUGACUUUCGUGAAAGCACUAGAACCGUAUACGGAGUUCUCUUAUCUGAA
This is a long non-coding RNA of Panicum virgatum (switchgrass), 656 nucleotides long. RefSeq lists it as uncharacterized. The transcript is spliced from 2 exons. NCBI's taxonomy places the organism in Eukaryota, Viridiplantae, Streptophyta, Magnoliopsida, Poales, Poaceae. The record is from RefSeq and is a predicted model, not a curated record.